This is a transfer RNA of Cryptosporidium muris RN66, 73 nucleotides long. It matches the Rfam family "tRNA". From Rfam's summary of the family: Transfer RNA (tRNA) molecules are approximately 80 nucleotides in length. Their secondary structure includes four short double-helical elements and three loops (D, anti-codon, and T loops). Further hydrogen bonds mediate the characteristic L-shaped molecular structure. tRNAs have two regions of fundamental functional importance: the anti-codon, which is responsible for specific mRNA codon recognition, and the 3' end, to which the tRNAs corresponding amino acid is attached (by aminoacyl-tRNA synthetases). tRNAs cope with the degeneracy of the genetic code in two manners: having more than one tRNA (with a specific anti-codon) for a particular amino acid; and 'wobble' base-pairing, i.e. permitting non-standard base-pairing at the 3rd anti-codon position. The record is from Rfam. Lineage: Eukaryota; Apicomplexa; Conoidasida; Eucoccidiorida; Cryptosporidiidae.
GCACCCGUGGCGCAAUGGAUAGCGCAUAGCCCUCCUAAGGCUGGGGUUGAGGGUUCGAGUCCCUUCGGGUGCG